CCUACGGGGAGCAGCAGUGGGGAAUUUUGCGCAAUGCUCGUAAGAGUGACGCAGCGACGCCGCGUGAAUGACGAAGGCCUUCGGGUCGUAAAGUUCUUUCGACAGGGAAGAAAAUGCCUAUAAGUAACUGUGUAUGUAUUGACGGUACCUGUAUAAGCAGCCCCGGCUAACUCCGUGCCAGCAGCCGCGGUAAUACGGAGGGGGCGAGCGUUGUACGGAGGGACUGGGCGUAAAGAGCACGUAGGCGGUGUUGUAAGUCAUUAGUCAAAGACUAGAGCUCAACUUUAGUAAGGCUAGUGAUACUAUAAUACUAGAGUAUCAGAGAGGAUUGCAGAAUUCCUGGUGUAGCGGUGAAAUGCGUAGAUAUCAGGAGGAAUACCGUUAGCGAAGGCGGCAAUCUGGCUGGAAACUGACGCUGAGGUGCGAAAGCGUGGGUAGCAAACAGGAUUAGAUACCCCUGUAGUC
RNAcentral lists this ribosomal RNA (465 nucleotides) under uncultured bacterium. RNAcentral describes it as "partial 16S ribosomal RNA". It matches the Rfam family "Bacterial small subunit ribosomal RNA", at positions 338 to 795 of the family's 1533-position model. The record is from RNAcentral.